CCUACGGGGGGCAGCAGUAGGGAAUCUUCCACAAUGGGCGAAAGCCUGAUGGAGCAACGCCGCGUGGGUGAAGAAGGUCUUCGGAUCGUAAAACCCUGUUGUUAGAGAAGAAAGUGCGUGAGAGUAACUGUUCACGUUUCGACGGUAUCUAACCAGAAAGCCACGUCUAACUACGUGCCAGCAGCCGCGGUAAUACGUAGGAGCGAAGCGUUAUCCGGAUUUAUUGGGCGUAAAGGGAACGCAGGCGGUUUUUUAAGUCUGAUGUGAAAGCCUUCGGCUUAACCGGAGUAGUGCAUUGGAAACUGGGAGACUAGAGUACAGAAGAGGAAGGUGGAA
Molecule: ribosomal RNA, 336 nt
Filed under: uncultured bacterium
Lineage: Bacteria
Description: partial 16S ribosomal RNA
Rfam family: Bacterial small subunit ribosomal RNA
Source: RNAcentral